UGCAGCGACGCCGCGUGAGGGACGAAGGCCUUCGGGUUGUAAACCUCUUUCAGCAGGGAAGAAGCGAAAGUGACGGUACCUGCAGAAGAAGCGCCGGCUAACUACGUGCCAGCAGCCGCGGUAAUACGUAGGGCGCAAGCGUUAUCCGGAAUUAUUGGGCGUAAAGAGCUCGUAGGCGGUUUGUCGCGUCUGCUGUGAAAGCCCGGGGCUCAACCCCGGGUCUGCAGUGGGUACGGGCAGACUAGAGUGCAGUAGGGGAGACUGGAAUUCCUGGUGUAGCGGUGAAAUGCGCAGAUAUCAGGAGGAACACCGAUGGCGAAGGCAGGUCUCUGGGCUGUAACUGACGCUGAGGAGCGAAAGCAUGGGGAGCGAACAGGAUUAGAUACCCUGGUAGUCCAUGCCGUAAACGUUGGGCACUAGGUGUGGGGGACAUUCCACGUUUUCCGCGCCGUAGCUAACGCAUUAAGUGCCCCGCCUGG
RNAcentral lists this ribosomal RNA (479 nucleotides) under Arthrobacter sp. RNAcentral describes it as "bacterial SSU rRNA". It matches the Rfam family "Bacterial small subunit ribosomal RNA", at positions 387 to 876 of the family's 1533-position model. Lineage: Bacteria; Bacillati; Actinomycetota; Actinomycetes; Micrococcales; Micrococcaceae. The record is from RNAcentral.